This 433-nucleotide ribosomal RNA is filed under the name uncultured bacterium. RNAcentral describes it as "partial 16S ribosomal RNA". It matches the Rfam family "Bacterial small subunit ribosomal RNA", at positions 29 to 507 of the family's 1533-position model. The record is from RNAcentral.
AACGAACGCUGGCGGCAGGCCUAACACAUGCAAGUCGAGCGGACCUUUCGGGGUCAGCGGCGGACGGGUGAGUAACGCGUGGGAAUAUGCCCUUCUCUACGGAAUAGUCCUGGGAAACUGGGGGUAAUACCGUAUACGCCCUUUGGGGGAAAGAUUUAUCGGGGAAGGAUUAGCCCGCGUUGGAUUAGGUAGUUGGUGGGGUAAUGGCCUACCAAGCCGACGAUCCAUAACUGGUUUGAGAGGAUGAUCAGCCACACUGGGACUGAGACACGGCCCAGACUCCUACGGGAGGCAGCAGUGGGGAAUCUUAGACAAUGGGGGCAACCCUGAUCUAGCCAUGCCGCGUGAGUGAUGAAGGCCUUAGGGUUGUAAAGCUCUUUCAGCUGGGAAGAUAAUGACGGUACCAGCAGAAGAAGCCCCGGCUAACUCCGUG